RNAcentral lists this long non-coding RNA (2579 nucleotides) under Homo sapiens (human). RNAcentral describes it as "HSALNT0383357". The record is from RNAcentral. Lineage: Eukaryota; Metazoa; Chordata; Mammalia; Primates; Hominidae.
AGCAACAUGCUCUGGUAACCUUCCAUGGUGUGGAAGCUUUGUUCUUUUGCUCUUCACAGUAAGUCUUGCUGCUGCUCACUCUUUGGGUCCUCACUACCUCUAUGACCUGUAACACUCACUGCAAAGUUCUGCUGCUUCACUCCUGAAGUCAGUGAGACCACGAACCCACCAGAAGGAAGAAACUCUGAACACAUCUGAGCAUCUGAAGGAACAAACUCCGGACACACCAUCUUUAAGAACUGUAACACUCACCGUGUGGCUAUUUUCAUUCUUGAAGUCAGCGAGACCAAGAACCUACAGGAAGGAAUAAAUUCCGGACACAAGGAAUGUUCCUCAGUUAUCAUGUGUGAAAUUUUGUUUCCUGAUUUUCUGCAAUAGAUCCAUGUGAAUUUCAGUCAUCUGUCUGUUUUUAUGGAUUAAAUGUCAGCUGAAGGUUGAAUCGGGCAAAAACUGAAAGAAGACAACAGUUUGAAGGCUUCCCUUUCCAUUUCCAAACAUAAUACCAAAUGACUUAAAAUGAAUGAAGAUGCUUUAGAGCUCUGGGUGUCACGAUAAAACAUAAACUUACACAUUCACUUUGACCCACAUAUUGUCCUUUCUAAGAUGUUUCAAAAUGGGAAAAUCCUCUGUGUCAUUUUAUUUGAAAAAAAAAAUCAGGAAGCACCAUUGCAUGCAUGUGAGCCGAGCAGAUGUGCAUACAAACAUGCGUGUGUGUACAUGAAGCACAACCAGCAUUUGGAAUAUCCUCCCUCAGGCAAAGCAAGGACCUGUAAGUAGUACUAUUUUUCCUAUCAGCCCUGGAGAGUACAGAGGGAGCCCUGUGUGUUAUUAAUGGAUAAAAUCUGAACGGCAGCCAACCCCAAGGUGAACCCUAUGCAUUUAAAACAUUUCAUCAGACAGCUAAGGUUUUUCUUUUUUUUUUCAGCAGAUAUCUCUCCAGCCACCACUCAAUAGAUCCCAAGAAGAGAGCAAUAGCUGGCCUCACUAAUGUGCAAAUUGAUAGUAUGAGCUCCCCACCAAAAUAUAAACAGCUCUUUAUUCCUUAAGUAUCAAUAUCAUAGGCUGGGCUGGUGUGAGGGAAGUCUGUGGACUACCGUAGAAUUAUCUGGCAAAAAGAAAUAGUAAAUGUAAAAUCUUUGCCCAGCCAGCUGGCUUCCUGAGUUUCUUUCUGUGAUGUUUGAAUGCUCUGCUGAAUUCUAACAGCUGGAAUCUAGACAUUUGUCUAGUUUAUGACUUCAGUUUUUUAUAAGGGUUAAUGUGGGUGGUUUAUAAAGUUAGAGGUAGAAUAAAAAUAAUUAAUGUUUACUUAUUAUUUUUAUUUGUCUCUGCUUAAUUACUAAAAUGGUUUGAAUGUUCACUGGUUAUUUUCAUUUGCUGCGGUCCAUUCUUUACUCUGUUUUGUUCCCAGAGAGGCUGACUCCUGCGUAUUGUAUCACCCUGGCUACCUGGCCAACUGGCUUCAAAUUGGGCUUGACCACUGGGAGGUCCUGAGAGAAGACUGGAGGACAACAAGAGGCAGAGACUGUGGUAUUUCUUUCUUCCUACUGUGGGCCGGAUUGCUGGCACUGGCUGUGUCCUUCCAGGAACACAGCUCCCAAAGAGAGGCCCAUCUGCAUGGCCCCAGCUCUCACUGUUCUUUGCUAACACAACUUCCAUUCGUGCCUCUUUAGGCUUGGAAGUGGCAAAGCCUGUCCACUCUUGCUAGUCUCUGAGUGCCUCAUAUCCCUGAUUUUUCCCUUUUGCUCUAUCCACAACUCAGGAAGUAAUUUCUUCAUUAGAGUCCCCUGUACCACAUGGACUGGAUUCAACUUUCUGCUAUUUUCAGUAUUAAAUUAGUUAAUAUUUGUAGAAUGCUUACAAUAGUGCCUGACACAUAAUAAGCAUGCUUUAUGUUUGUUAAAUCAAUAAAAAUAAACACAUAUAAUAUAACACUGAGUCAUGUGUUCAGAGGAAAGGGGUGCUAUGUUUGUCCAGGCGGAAUCAAGAGCUCACCCCUGGUGUAAGAGUUUGUGGAGUCAAGGGGUUAAUACGCAGGAGAAAGAAAACCCCCAAGGUGACCAAAACAAUAGCAGCAACAACAAAACAGAGUUGUAUGCCAUACCCUAGUUCCUAAGGUUGCUAUUUUGGCCUCAAGGAUUCUUUUUUUUUAAUAUUGGUUAAACAUGCAUUUCAUUUUUCCAAAGUAGAAUUUGAAACUCUACUAACUCUACUAACUUUAGUUGCUCUUCCUAACUAAAGAGAGCAAAGACUAAGCAAGUAUGAGUAAAACAAAAGGAAACUUUAUUAACACAUCCUGGCUACCUUUAGGCCAGUAGAGAGGAAGAGGAGGAGGAUGUACAUGCCUAGAAAAGAAUAGGAAGUCACAGCCCUUGCCACUGCAGCCUGGGUGUGUGACACUGCAGUAGGCUAUGUCAAGGAAGGCUGUAGUCCCCAAGGAACUAGAUCUGCCUUGUCUUAUGGGAGAAAUGCAGAGCAGGAAUUCAGUAGUCUGGCAGGUCAAGCAGCAAAGGCCCAGCAAAGAAUGUGAGUCCUGUCAUCCAAGACCAUCUUAGGGCCCUUUUUUUUUUUUUUUUUCUUUG